This 447-nucleotide ribosomal RNA is filed under the name uncultured bacterium. RNAcentral describes it as "bacterial SSU rRNA". It matches the Rfam family "Bacterial small subunit ribosomal RNA", at positions 355 to 825 of the family's 1533-position model. The record is from RNAcentral.
UGGGGAAUAUUGGACAAUGGGCGCAAGCCUGAUCCAGCCAUGCCGCGUGAACGAUGAAGGCCUUAGGGUUGUAAAGUUCUUUUGUCAGGGAAGAUAAUGACGGUACCUGAAGAAUAAGCACCGGCUAACUUCGUGCCAGCAGCCGCGGUAAUACGAAGGGUGCUAGCGUUGUUCGGAAUUACUGGGCGUAAAGCGUGCGCAGGCGGUUAUAUAAGACAGAUGUGAAAUCCCCGGGCUCAACCUGGGACCUGCAUUUGUGACUGUAUAGCUAGAGUACGGUAGAGGGGGAUGGAAUUCCGCGUGUAGCAGUGAAAUGCGUAGAUAUGCGGAGGAACACCGAUGGCGAAGGCAAUCCCCUGGACCUGUACUGACGCUCAUGCACGAAAGCGUGGGGAGCAAACAGGAUUAGAUACCCCCGUAGUCCCUGAGCGGGCUGGCAAGGCGCAU